AAAGUUCAAGUGUGGGAUUAAAAGGAUAAAGCAACAUUUGGUGGGUGGAUAUGGAGAUGUUGCGAAGUGCACCAAGACAACUGCAGCAAUUGCUCAAGAGAUGAAUGCAGCUUUAAUGCGUAAUAGGAAGAAGAAAUGAUGAAGACA
Molecule: long non-coding RNA, 147 nt
Organism: Telopea speciosissima
Lineage: Eukaryota; Viridiplantae; Streptophyta; Magnoliopsida; Proteales; Proteaceae
Exons: 3
Source: RefSeq, a predicted model, not a curated record